This 207-nucleotide ribosomal RNA is filed under the name Escherichia coli. Its description in RNAcentral is "partial 23S ribosomal RNA". It matches the Rfam family "Bacterial large subunit ribosomal RNA", at positions 1112 to 1317 of the family's 2925-position model. The record is from RNAcentral. Lineage: Bacteria; Pseudomonadati; Pseudomonadota; Gammaproteobacteria; Enterobacterales; Enterobacteriaceae.
GCAGCCAUCAUUUAAAGAAAGCGUAAUAGCUCACUGGUCGAGUCGGCCUGCGCGGAAGAUGUAACGGGGCUAAACCAUGCACCGAAGCUGCGGCAGCGACGCUUAUGCGUUGUUGGGUAGGGGAGCGUUCUGUAAGCCUGCGAAGGUGUGCUGUGAGGCAUGCUGGAGGUAUCAGAAGUGCGAAUGCUGACAUAAGUAACGAUAAAG